RNAcentral lists this ribosomal RNA (443 nucleotides) under uncultured bacterium. RNAcentral's name for it is "partial 16S ribosomal RNA". It matches the Rfam family "Bacterial small subunit ribosomal RNA", at positions 338 to 795 of the family's 1533-position model. The record is from RNAcentral.
CCUACGGGAGGCUGCAGUGGGGAAUAUUGGGCAAUGGAGGCAACUCUGACCCAGCAACGCCGCGUGAGUGAUGAAGGUCUUCGGAUCGUAAAACUCUGUAAGUGGGGACGAAGAAAGUGACUGUACCCACAGAAUAAGCCUCGGCUAACUACGUGCCAGCAGCCGCGGUAAUACGUAGGAGGCAAGCGUUAUCCGGAAUGACUGGGCGUAAAGGGUGCGUAAGUGGUUUGACAAGUUAGUAGCGUAAUUCCGGGGCUCAACCUGUGGCCUGGAUUUGAAACUGUUUUUCUUGAGUACUGGAGAGGCAGACGGAAUUCCUAGGGUAGCGGUGAAAUGCGUAGAUAUUAGGAGGAACACCAGUGGCGAAGGCGGUCUGCUGGACAGCAACUGACGCUGAGGCGCGAAAGCGUGGGGAGCAAACAGGAUUAGAUACCCUUGUAGUC